This 642-nucleotide ribosomal RNA is filed under the name uncultured bacterium. RNAcentral describes it as "bacterial SSU rRNA". It matches the Rfam family "Bacterial small subunit ribosomal RNA", at positions 232 to 885 of the family's 1533-position model. The record is from RNAcentral.
CGCGGCCUAUCAGCUUGUUGGUGGGGUAACGGCCUACCAAGGCGACGACGGGUAGCCGGCCUGAGAGGGCGACCGGCCACACUGGGACUGAGACACGGCCCAGACUCCUACGGGAGGCAGCAGUGGGGAAUAUUGCGCAAUGGGCGAAAGCCCGACGCAGCGACGCCGCGUGGGGGAUGAAGGCCUUCGGGUUGUAAACCCCUUUCAGCAGGGACGAAGCGAAAGUGACGGUACCUGCAGAAGAAGCGCCGGCUAACUACGUGCCAGCAGCCGCGGUAACACGUAGGGCGCAAGCGUUGUCCGGAAUUAUUGGGCGUAAAGAGCUCGUAGGCGGUCUGUUGCGUCCGCUGUGAAAACUCGGGGCUUAACCCCGAGCCUGCAGUGGAUACGGGCAGACUAGAGGUAGGUAGGGGAGAAUGGAAUUCCCGGUGUAGCGGUGAAAUGCGCAGAUAUCGGGAGGAACACCGGUGGCGAAGGCGGUUCUCUGGGCCUUACCUGACGCUGAGGAGCAAAAGCGUGGGGAGCGAACAGGAUUAGAUACCCUGGUAGUCCACGCCGUAAACGUUGGGCGCUAGGUGUGGGAUCCUUCCACGGAUUCCGUGCCGCAGCUAACGCAUUAAGCGCCCCGCCUGGGGAGUACGG